GAUGAACGCUGGCGGCGUGCCUAAUACAUGCAAGUCGAGCGAACAGAUAAGGAGCUUGCUCCUUUGACGUUAGCGGCGGACGGGUGAGUAACACGUGGGUAACCUACCUAUAAGAGUGGGAUAACUUCGGGAAACCGGAGCUAAUACCGGAUAAUAUUUCGAACCGCAUGGUUCGAUAGUGAAAGAUGGUUUUGCUAUCACUUAUAGAUGGACCCGCGCCGUAUUAGCUAGUUGGUAAGGUAACGGCUUACCAAGGCGACGAUACGUAGCCGACCUGAGAGGGUGAUCGGCCACACUGGAACUGAGACACGGUCCAGACUCCUACGGGAGGCAGCAGUAGGGAAUCUUCCGCAAUGGGCGAAAGCCUGACGGAGCAACGCCGCGUGAGUGAUGAAGGUCUUCGGAUCGUAAAACUCUGUUAUUAGGGAAGAACAUACGUGUAAGUAACUGUGCACGUCUUGACGGUACCUAAUCAGAAAGCCACGGCUAACUACGUG
Molecule: ribosomal RNA, 497 nt
Filed under: uncultured bacterium
Lineage: Bacteria
Description: partial 16S ribosomal RNA
Rfam family: Bacterial small subunit ribosomal RNA
Source: RNAcentral